GACGAAGGAUGCAAGCGUUAUCCGGAUUCAUUGGGUUUAAAGGGAGCGUAGGUGGCCUUAUAAGUCAGUGGUGAAAGCCUCCAGCUCAACUGGAGAACUGCCAUUGAUACUGCCGGGCUUGAGUACAGACGAGGUUGGCGGAAUUGAUUGUGUAGCGGUGAAAUGCAUAGAUACAAUCAAGAACUCCGAUUGCGUAGGCAGCUAACUAGGCUGUAACUGACGCUGAGGCACGAAAGCGUGGGGAGCGAACAGG
Molecule: ribosomal RNA, 253 nt
Filed under: uncultured bacterium
Lineage: Bacteria
Description: partial 16S ribosomal RNA
Rfam family: Bacterial small subunit ribosomal RNA
Source: RNAcentral